RNAcentral lists this ribosomal RNA (503 nucleotides) under uncultured bacterium. RNAcentral describes it as "partial 16S ribosomal RNA". It matches the Rfam family "Bacterial small subunit ribosomal RNA", at positions 30 to 523 of the family's 1533-position model. The record is from RNAcentral.
AUUGAACGCUGGCGGCGGGCUUAACACAUGCAAGUCGAGCGGAGUGAUGGUGCUUGCACUAUCACUUAGCGGCGGACGGGUGAGUAAUGCUUAGGAAUCUGCCUAUUAGUGGGGGACAACAUCCCGAAAGGGAUGCUAAUACCGCAUACGUCCUACGGGAGAAAGCAGGGGAUCACUUGUGACCUUGCGCUAAUAGAUGACCCUAAGUCGGAUUAGCUAGUUGGUGGGGUAAAGGCCUACCAAGGCGACGAUCUGUAGCGGGUCUGAGAGGAUGAUCCGCCACACUGGGACUGAGACACGGCCCAGACUCCUACGGGAGGCAGCAGUGGGGAAUAUUGGACAAUGGGGGGAACCCUGAUCCAGCCAUGCCGCGUGUGUGAAGAAGGCCUUAUGGUUGUAAAGCACUUUAAGCGAGGAGGAGGCUCUUUUGGUUAAUACCCAAGAUGAGUGGACGUUACUCGCAGAAUAAGCACCGGCUAACUCUGUGCCAGCAGCCGCAGUAA